This is a long non-coding RNA of Musa acuminata AAA Group (dessert banana), 1130 nucleotides long. RefSeq lists it as uncharacterized. The record is from RefSeq and is a predicted model, not a curated record. NCBI's taxonomy places the organism in Eukaryota, Viridiplantae, Streptophyta, Magnoliopsida, Zingiberales, Musaceae. The transcript is spliced from 2 exons.
AGGAAAAUUAAGCCCAAGAUUUAUUGGACCUUUUGAGGUUCUUGAGAGGGUUGGUUCUGUCGCUUACAGGAUUGCCUUGCCACCAGCAUUGUGCCAUGUCCAUGAUAUAUUUCAUGUCUCGAUGAUUAGGAAGUAUAUAUAUGACCCUUCUCACAUCAUCAAGUAUGAGCUGGUGGAGAUUGAUAAAGAUUUAUCUUAUGUGGAAGAGCCUAUUCAGAUUGUUGAUAAGAAAGAAAAAGUCAUAAGGAAUCGGGUCAUCCCGCUGGUUCAAGUAAUUUGGAGACAUCAUUUUGGAGAGGAGACAACUUGAGAGCUAGAGGAGGAAAUGAAGAAGGUGUACCCCCGUCUUUUCAUCGAUAGAGGUACGAUAAAUUUAGAGGACUAAAAUUUUCUUUUAAGGGGGGGAGAGUGUAACACCCCUCAUUACUGAAUGUUCGUAUAAAUUUCUGGCGAUAAUGUGAGCUUCUAUUUUAAUUGACAGAAGAAACAGAGUAUGGAUUAGAGGUAUCUUAUUUUUAAAAUUUGGGAGAUCUGUUCAAAAAAGAAAAAAAAAAAAAGAAUCUGAGGACCUAUAUGUAAACCCUAAGGACCUAAUCGUGAAUAUGAUAAAAACAAGGACUAAACUGCAAAAUGCACCAAAUGACAAAUCCCACCGCUUAAGCUUCUCUGCCUUCGUUCUUAAGAAAGCAGAGAAGGCAGCUCGUGGGUGAUCAGGGAAAGAAAGGAAGAAGAAGAAGAAGAAGAAGAAAUUGGGGCUUUUAGGGUUUUUGCUUUAAUCUUGUUACUUCGGGUCAAAAUUUGCAAAGGAUAACGUAUCGCUUGCUUAGAUGUUACGAAUGGGCUGAGGCAGUGGAAAGUUUAGAAGACGUUGGGCAGAACUUUUGUUAGCAUAUAUGUAGUUGUGUAUAUAGCUACCUUGCAUCUAAUGAAAUGUGACUAUGAAUCUAAACCUGUGGAUUUUGUGUAAGUUAAAGGAUCCCUCAUGUAUAGGGUUUUGGUAUGUUAAAUUAAAUUUGUGUAAUGGUAUGAACUUAUGGUAAAUCGAUGAUUGUGGUGACUGCAUAGAUUUCCCCACUUGUGGAUUUAUAUUGUGGUUUUUAUUUUGAUGAGUUGAGUUCAGAUUGUAUGAA